GGUUAGAUUAACGAGAGUCUUAUCUUUAAAUGGCUGUAAAAUAGUCAUAUGUUUGAGAAAUUGAAGUAAUAGGAUUUUUAAGGUUUUGAAAAUCGCGCCACAGGAUAGCCGUGCUGUUACGUAGGUGGGACGAAUUCGUCCCGCCUAGCCUAGAGAGGUUAAAUAACAGGACCGCAGAGAGAAACCAGUUACAGAAUAGUCUAAAUACCAGGACCACUGAGAGAGACCAGCUACAGAAUAGUCUAAAUACAAGGACCACUGAGAGAGACCAGCUACAGAAUAGUCUAAAUACUAGAACCACUGAGAGAAACCAGUUACAGAAAAGUCUCACAACCAAAACUAAAGACAGAGACCAGUUGCACAAUACUCUCAC
This 373-nucleotide long non-coding RNA is filed under the name Salmo salar (Atlantic salmon). RNAcentral's name for it is "lncRNA (ENSSSAG00000102217.1)". The record is from RNAcentral. Lineage: Eukaryota; Metazoa; Chordata; Actinopteri; Salmoniformes; Salmonidae.